Molecule: long non-coding RNA, 249 nt
Organism: Juglans microcarpa x Juglans regia
Lineage: Eukaryota; Viridiplantae; Streptophyta; Magnoliopsida; Fagales; Juglandaceae
Exons: 3
Source: RefSeq, a predicted model, not a curated record
UAAGAAGUCUUCUCACUAGAUUUUUGCACUGAUUACUUCUUCUUUUACUAUUUAAUUUUGGCAUAAUUAUUAGAAUUUUGCUACUUUUGGAUAAAAAAUGUUCUCUUAUCGAUUUGCAAUUAUUAUAAUGGCUUGGCUUGUGGGCUAAUUUUUGACAUUCUUGGAUUUGAUAAUUUUGAUUUGAACAAUUCUCUGUGUUUUUGGACGAUUCUCUUGUUCUCUUCUCAAAAAUUCUCUAUUGAAACUAGC